GGAAUAUUGGACAAUGGGCGCAAGCCUGAUCCAGCAACGCCGCGUGGAGGACGAAGGCCUUCGGGUCGUAAACUCCUGUCAGAGGGGGCGAAGGUAGCCAGGGCAAAUAGUCCUGGUUGCUUGACGGUACCCUCAGAGGAAGCCCCGGCCAACUACGUGCCAGCAGCCGCGGUAAUACGUAGGGGGCGAACGUUGUCCGGAUUUAUUGGGCGUAAAGAGCUCGUAGGCGGCUCAGCAAGUCGGCCGUGAAAACCCGGGGCUCAACCCCGGGACGCCGGUCGAAACUGCUGUGGCUAGGGUCCGGUAGAGGAGAGUGGAAUUCCCGGUGUAGCGGUGAAAUGCGCAGAUAUCGGGAGGAACACCAGUAGCGAAGGCGGCUCUCUGGGCCGGUACCGACGCUGAGGAGCGAAAGCUAGGGGAGCAAA
Molecule: ribosomal RNA, 425 nt
Filed under: uncultured bacterium
Lineage: Bacteria
Description: bacterial SSU rRNA
Rfam family: Bacterial small subunit ribosomal RNA
Source: RNAcentral